CCUACGGGUGGCAGCAGUGAGGAAUAUUGGUCAAUGGGAGGAAGCCUGAACCAGCCAAGCAGCGUGCAGGACGACGGCUCUACGAGUUGUAAACUGCUUUUGUACCGGGGUAAAAUGCUCUACGAGUAGGGUUUUGAAUGUACGGUACGAAUAAGGAUCGGCUAACUCCGUGCCAGCAGCCGCGGUAAUACGGAGGAUCCGAGCGUUAUCCGGAUUUAUUGGGUUUAAAGGGAGCGUAGGUGGUUUGAUAAGUUAGUGGUGAAAGUUUGAGGCUCAACAUCGGGGUUGCAGCUGAUACUGUAAGACGAGAGAUCGGUUGCGGCAGGCGGAAUGCGUGGUGUAGCGGUGAAAUGCUUAGAUAUUACGCAGAACUCCGAUUGCGAAGGCAGCUUGCUGGGCCGGAUCUGACACUGAUGCACGAAAGCGUGGGUAUCGAACAGGAUUAGAUACCCUAGUAGUC
Molecule: ribosomal RNA, 460 nt
Filed under: uncultured bacterium
Lineage: Bacteria
Description: partial 16S ribosomal RNA
Rfam family: Bacterial small subunit ribosomal RNA
Source: RNAcentral